AGAAUUUUAAGUUAUAUAAACUAAAGGCCUUCAAAGCCUAAAAAAAAAGAAAUCUUUUAAAUUCUA
This 66-nucleotide transfer RNA is filed under the name Monomia gladiator. RNAcentral's name for it is "tRNA-Trp". The record is from RNAcentral. Lineage: Eukaryota; Metazoa; Arthropoda; Malacostraca; Decapoda; Portunidae.